AACGAACGCUGGCGGCAUGCCUAACACAUGCAAGUCGAACGAGAUCUUCGGGUCUAGUGGCGCACGGGUGCGUAACGCGUGGGAAUCUGCCCUUUGGUUCGGAAUAACAGUUGGAAACGACUGCUAAUACCGGAUGAUGACGAAAGUCCAAAGAUUUAUCGCCAGAGGAUGAGCCCGCGUAGGAUUAGCUAGUUAGUGUGGUAAAGGCGCACCAAGGCGACGAUCCUUAGCUGGUCUGAGAGGAUGAUCAGCCACACUGGGACUGAGACACGGCCCAGACUCCUACGGGAGGCAGCAGUGGGGAAUAUUGGACAAUGGGCGAAAGCCUGAUCCAGCCAUGCCGCGUGAGUGAUGAAGGCCCUAGGGUUGUAAAGCUCUUUCACCGGUGAAGAUAAUGACGGUAACCGGAGAAGAAGCCCCGGCUAACUUCGUGCCAGCCGCCGCGGUAA
This 449-nucleotide ribosomal RNA is filed under the name uncultured bacterium. RNAcentral's name for it is "partial 16S ribosomal RNA". It matches the Rfam family "Bacterial small subunit ribosomal RNA", at positions 29 to 523 of the family's 1533-position model. The record is from RNAcentral.